GUGCGGCUGAGGCGGAGGUGCGGGAUGUCCCCUGCCGCCCGCGCCCGCAGGGGCCGGAGCUCCGAGGCCAGGCCAUCUCCCCCGAGGAGCUGAGGGAGCCGCUUCCAUCCGCGCACAACUUGGGGCGCGCGGGUUCCACGUCCCGCUCCCAGAGGAGAAAGGCGCGCGUCCCCGACCGCGGCGCCCGCGCGGACCCCAACGUGACUUUCUUAAAAGAGCCCGGACAAUGGCAGCCGUGAAAAACACGACCGAAGUGGCACCUAGCGCCGCGGUGGCAGGGGGAGAAGUUAAGGAAAACUUACGCACAAGUGACCCCAGAAUAGGCUUCUGGCGGGGCCGUUUUUUGCUCCUGCACAAGUGGGAUUAGGUCUGAGAAUGACAGCUCAAGACCUGCGCUAGGGCUGGAGUCCUGGCUCUGGCCCGAGACCCCCUCAGCGCCCCGCGACUCCCGGUUCUGGAAUUGGGCCUCUGCUUCCUUCACUGAAGUCAUGGCAGCUUGAAGUGCAGUUAGGAGAAUUAUCCUCUCUUUUUUCCUCUGGAGAUUAUGACCUCUGCAUUAAAAUGUGUCUCUCGUGAAAUUUAAACAAUAUUCUGGUGUAUACUUUGUUUUAAAGAAGUUGUGCUUGAAUUGGUUAAAAAGAAAAGGGGAUUUAAAAUCGACAGCCAAGUUUAGGUUUAUUUGUUGUGGAGUUUUGUGUUUGGUUGAGGCAAGGAGUGAGUUUUAAGUAAAAUUUUCAAGUGUACUACUAAUUUAUUUAUUUAUUUUUCAUUGUUUGCAGACGUUAAUCUUUCAGUGAAGACCUUUUAAGGAAUACAUGCAAAAAUAACAGUGGUUUAAGCCCACCCAUAAGGACUAUAGCCUGCCCCCCGCCUUUUUUCUUAACUUGUGACAGAGCCUCGGGAAAGUUUCAUUAAUCUUGGGAUGUAAAAAACAUGUUAAGUUGAAUUCUAGGCCUCCAAAUGAAAAAAUGUUUGUGUUUAUCUUAAUAGAAUUAUCGGA
This 1000-nucleotide long non-coding RNA is filed under the name Neogale vison (American mink). Its description in RNAcentral is "Neovison vison (American mink) lncRNA (ENSNVIG00000012423.1)". Lineage: Eukaryota; Metazoa; Chordata; Mammalia; Carnivora; Mustelidae. The record is from RNAcentral.